Molecule: transfer RNA, 73 nt
Filed under: Hephaestus fuliginosus (sooty grunter)
Lineage: Eukaryota; Metazoa; Chordata; Actinopteri; Centrarchiformes; Terapontidae
Description: tRNA-Thr
Rfam family: tRNA
About the family: Transfer RNA (tRNA) molecules are approximately 80 nucleotides in length. Their secondary structure includes four short double-helical elements and three loops (D, anti-codon, and T loops).
Source: RNAcentral
GCACUAGUAGCUCAACUUUUAGAGCGCCGGCCUUGUAAGCCGGAGGCUGAAGGUUAAAUUCCUUCCUAAUGCU